RNAcentral lists this transfer RNA (23 nucleotides) under Chelonoidis denticulatus (yellow-footed tortoise). RNAcentral's name for it is "partial transfer RNA-Thr". Lineage: Eukaryota; Metazoa; Chordata; Testudines; Testudinidae. The record is from RNAcentral.
AUUCUAGUAGCUUAAUAUUAAAG